RNAcentral lists this ribosomal RNA (346 nucleotides) under uncultured bacterium. Its description in RNAcentral is "bacterial SSU rRNA". It matches the Rfam family "Bacterial small subunit ribosomal RNA", at positions 8 to 334 of the family's 1533-position model. The record is from RNAcentral.
AGAGUUUGAUUCUGGCUCAGGAUGAACGCUGGCGGCGUGCUUAACACAUGCAAGUCGAACGAAGCACUCUAUUUGAUUUUCUUCGGAAAUGAAGAUUUUGUGACUGAGUGGCGGACGGGUGAGUAACGCGUGGGUAACCUGCCUCAUACAGGGGGAUAACAGUUGGAAACGACUGCUAAUACCGCAUAAGCGCACAGGAUCGCAUGAUCCGGUGUGAAAAACUCCGGUGGUAUGAGAUGGACCCGCGUCUGAUUAGCUAGUUGGCAGGGUAACGGCCUACCAAAGCGACGAUCAGUAGCCGACCUGAGAGGGUGACCGGCCACAUUGGGACUGAGACACGGCCCAA